GAUGAAGAACGCAGCGAAAUGCGAUAAGUAGUGUGAAUUGCAGAAUUCAGUGAAUCAUCGAAUCUUUGAACGCACCUUGCGCCCUUUGGCUAUUCCUAAGGGCAUGCCUGUUUGAGUAUCAUGAACACCUCAACUCUCAUGGUUUUUCCAUGAUGGGCUUGGACUUUGGGGGUCUUGCCGGCCUAUGGUCAGCUCCUCUUAAAUGAAUCAGCUUGCCAGUGUUUGGUGUGGCAUCACAGGUGUGAUAACUAUCUACGCUUGUGGUUUUCCAUCAAGUAACCUUCAGUGAUGGAGGUUCGCUGGGGCUCAUAAAGGCCUCUCCUCGGUGAGGAUGGCUCCUUUGAACGUUUGAUCUCAAAUCAGGUAGGACUACCCGCUGAACUUAAGCAUAUCAAUAAGCGGAGGA
Molecule: unclassified non-coding RNA, 406 nt
Filed under: soil metagenome
Description: partial contains 5.8S ribosomal RNA, internal transcribed spacer 2, and large subunit ribosomal RNA
Rfam family: 5.8S ribosomal RNA (bases 1-121)
Source: RNAcentral